CCUACGGGAGACAGCAGUGAGGAAUAUUGGUCAAUGGACGAGAGUCUGAACCAGCCAAGUAGCGUGAAGGAUGACUGCCCUAUGGGUUGUAAACUUCUUUUAUAAAGGAAUAAAACGAGGCAAGUGUGCCUUUUUGCAUUUACUUUAUGAAUAAGGAUCGGCUAACCCCGUGCCAGCAGCCCCGGUAAUACGGAGGAUCCGAGCGUUACCCGGAUUGAUUGGGUUUAAAGGGAGCGUAGAUGGGUUGUUAAGUCAGUUGUGAAAGUUUGCGGCUCAACCGUAAAAUUGCAAUUGAUACUGGCAGUCUUGAGUACAGUUGAGGUAGGCGGAAUUCGUGGUGUAGCGGUGAAAUGCUUAGAUAUCACGAAGAACCCCGAUUGCGAAGGCAGCUUACUAAACUGUGACUGACAUUGAUGCUCGAAAGUGUGGGUAUCAAACAGGAUUAGAUACCCGAGUAGUC
This 460-nucleotide ribosomal RNA is filed under the name uncultured bacterium. RNAcentral's name for it is "partial 16S ribosomal RNA". It matches the Rfam family "Bacterial small subunit ribosomal RNA", at positions 338 to 795 of the family's 1533-position model. The record is from RNAcentral.